Molecule: transfer RNA, 86 nt
Filed under: bacterium BMS3Bbin09
Lineage: Bacteria
Also listed under: 2 other names
Description: tRNA-Leu
Rfam family: tRNA
About the family: Transfer RNA (tRNA) molecules are approximately 80 nucleotides in length. Their secondary structure includes four short double-helical elements and three loops (D, anti-codon, and T loops).
Source: RNAcentral
GCCGAAGUGGCGGAACGGUAGACGCGCUAGGUUCAGGAUCUAGUGUCCAUUAGGGUGUGGGGGUUCGAAUCCCCCCUUCGGCACCA